UCUUUACAAUAAACAUAUUUUAUAUUUUAAUUUAUAAGUGUAUAAGAUAUAAAUUUUGUAGUUGUUUCGCUGGGGCGGCGUAGAUAUAUAAAUAAACUGUCUAUAUAUUAAAUCCAGUAAUUACUGAUUAAUAAAAUUGAUCCUUGAAUAGAUUAAAAGAUUAAGAU
This 167-nucleotide ribosomal RNA is filed under the name Alloeopagurodes spiniacicula. Its description in RNAcentral is "partial 16S rRNA". The record is from RNAcentral. Lineage: Eukaryota; Metazoa; Arthropoda; Malacostraca; Decapoda; Paguridae.